Molecule: long non-coding RNA, 1596 nt
Organism: Choloepus didactylus (southern two-toed sloth)
Lineage: Eukaryota; Metazoa; Chordata; Mammalia; Pilosa; Megalonychidae
Exons: 4
Source: RefSeq, a predicted model, not a curated record
UUGGAAUAAGAAAAGAUUUAGAUGACAGUGGGAAAGAAAUGAUGCAUGAAGCAAUGCGAAACACAAAGGUAAGAAGAGAUCAAGUAACAUUCACAGAAAUAGAGAAUUGGGGGCAAUUCACCAGACUAUAGAGAGAUGAAAAAUGGGCUUCCACCUCCAAGUAUUCAUAGAACUAAAAUUCAAAACAAAACAAAAACCAGGAAUACAAUAAUACCUUGGGCUUCUGGCUCUCCACUGAUGGAAGAAGAUAAGUUAGAGUGACAUUUUCCUUCAAUUUGGAGGCUUGAGUUUGCAAAACCUACUUCCAAAAGCAGUUUUAUCUCUUUAUGGACAUGAUACUCUGGAUUUAAGGUAAGGUUCCAACAGAAAGAUAGCAGGACCCAAAUUAUAGUCUCAGAUUCUGAACAGGAUGAGACAAUUUUUAAUCACAAGUUUUCAGACCUACCUAGGGUUCUUUCUUCACGAUGUUACAGUAUGGCCUGAGACUUCAGGCUUAAAAGAAAUAGCCUAAAUAUUAAUUAGAGUUAUAAGAACGCCUCAUAAAAUUGGGAUUAUGCUUUGUAUCACCAUUAGCUGGACCACAAUGGCAUUGCUAGGUAAAAAUUUGGCAGGCUGAUGAAAAAAUAGAACUUGUUAAUCUCUCUGUGUAAGUUUUCAAAUAUAGUUUCUACCAUUUUCCCCCUCAUUUUUAAAAACACCGGAUCCAUGGAGUUGCGCAAUCAAUGGAGUUGCACAGAUCCAUUUUAAUACUACAAAAGCAACUAAAGAACGAACUGUCAUAUAAAAGUCUGAAAGACUUAAAAAACAAGUACCUUAAAAUUUCUGUGAAAGCACAAGAAACCACAGAUUACCAACACCCUGAGGGCAUGAAGCUCUGCUCUGAUUAUCUGAAUCAAAAAAUGGAAUAAAUGAUCUGACAAAUGAUCUAGAACAGAACACACUAGUUGAAAUUGAUGGGAUCUUGCCAACCUCCUGCAAACAACAUUUAAUUGGUUGGUAGAGUGGCCAUGCUCUUCCAGAGUGGUCAUAGCAAUUAUGUAGACCUAGGUUAACAAUCACAUGUGAAAUGACCAAAGAAUGGAUGAAUGGCUUAUCCUUAUUCAAAUAAGGUGGAUUCUCCAAAGAAACCAAAGAAAUUGUUAUCAAAUGCAUCCUCUAUCCCUACAUGCUGAAUUUGAUUGCUAGUACUCUUUUCCUGAAGUCUGGGAUUCCAUAUUCCAUCAAGUUUAGAUGAUUAGAAAACUUAAUAUCACUUCAUUUCCCUACUUACCUAUGGAAGGACAGAGGGAAAGAAUCUCUGAGAGAUCUUGCUCCUGCUGUAUGACCUCCAGUGAAGACCUAUUAAAUGGAGAAGAGGCUGAAGGGGCAAGGGAUAAGACAAGACAACAACCAAGGCUGUGAUGAAAGAACAGAUUCAGGUCAGAACAGAUGACUCAGGUCUUCCAGAAGAAUUUCAAGCCAACAAUAACUAUCAAGCAGUAGCCUACUCAACUGAUUUGGUCUGAAUUACCCCCUUUUAGUUGUUCUUUUAAAUAUAUAAAGGAUAUCCAGGUAAUUUUCCGUCCAAUUCAUGUUGAGUUAUAUGAAUAUACCUUG